AUUGAACGCUGGCGGCAUGCUUUACACAUGCAAGUCGAACGGUAACAGGCCGCAAGGUGCUGACGAGUGGCGAACGGGUGAGUAAUGCAUCGGAACGUGCCCAGUCGUGGGGGAUAACGCAGCGAAAGCUGCGCUAAUACCGCAUACGAUCUAUGGAUGAAGGCGGGGGACCGUAAGGCCUCGCGCGAUUGGAGCGGCCGAUGUCAGAUUAGGUAGUUGGUGGGGUAAAGGCUCACCAAGCCAACGAUCUGUAGCUGGUCUGAGAGGACGACCAGCCACACUGGGACUGAGACACGGCCCAGACUCCUACGGGAGGCAGCAGUGGGGAAUUUUGGACAAUGGGCGCAAGCCUGAUCCAGCAAUGCCGCGUGCAGGAAGAAGGCCUUCGGGUUGUAAACUGCUUUUGUACAGAACGAAAAGGUUUCUACUAAUACUAGGAGCUCAUGACGGUACUGUAAGAAUAAGCACCGGCUAACUACGUGCCAGCCGCCGCCGUAA
Molecule: ribosomal RNA, 498 nt
Filed under: uncultured bacterium
Lineage: Bacteria
Description: partial 16S ribosomal RNA
Rfam family: Bacterial small subunit ribosomal RNA
Source: RNAcentral